GCCAUUUCAAGUCAGCCUGUUCCAUCGGUCAUAUGUGCUGGCAAGUUGCGGGGAAUUGGAGGUAAAUCACGAGGCAAUUUACUUGGGAUUGACAGCUAUAAAAUACAGUUUUUGACAUAUUUGUUGAGCAAUCUUUCCACUCUAAAGGAGAGAAUUUUUAAGGAAUUUAGAGGUUUAGAGUAACCUUAUAAAGUAACUUAAUAACAUAACUUUGUUCUCCAAAAACUUUACUGUCUUUUCAAUUUUCUGGUUCUUCUUCAUUUCUUCUCCACAACUUUAUCACAGCUUCUGUUUUUCUUACUCUCCUUAUGGUGUUUUUAUGGGACUUUUUCUGACAUGCCCACACCACCUAAAAUAAGCUUACCAUAUUUUAUACAAUGGGAGUUAUCUCAACUUUUUUUCUACUGUUUAUUCAAUUCAGGGUUAAAAACUAUGUAAUGGACUAAUUGUAAAACCUAACUUUCUUUUUUAGGUGCUGCACUAUAUGUAAAGAGAAGUGACAUAUUGGCUCUCGCUAUAGGUAUGAUGAACUCUUCGAUCCUCUACGAUCAAUGAUUGGUUCAUUGUGUCAUUGACGGGUGAUAAUUCUGCAUUUCACAAUGAAUGCUUGAAUAAAAUGAUUUGCUUAGAUCGAGUAGAACUUCUGUUUCAUGAAUGGUGUGUUUAUCAACUGGUAACAAUUAGAGCAACUAUGGAAGAAAGGAAGUAGGUUGCUUCAAUUGUUUUACAUGCAAUAAGGCAUUCUUUAGAGCCAAGUGCAUUUCAGAUAUGGCUCAAUAAAUGUUAUAUUUCAUUUAGAGUGAAUCGCCGUUUAAGUCUAUAAAAUUAUAGGGGUUGAAAUUUUUAACGUUAGUCCUUUUGGGUUGGUCAAUAUAGUCCUUGAAACUGUCUUGAAGAGACUAAUGUGAUUGAAAAUUUUCGAUUUCAAGGAUCAUUUUAGAAUAUGUUAAUUUUAGGGGCUAAAUUGCACGAUGUCGUGACCAAUACUAUUUUUAGACUGAAAUAGGUUAUUCGCUCUUUUGUUUUAUGUUGUAUGAUGUGCCUGUGCUAGGUGGUACUUACCUAAAAAUUCUUGAUUGGCCCAUUAGUUCAUAUGUUGAUGCUAUCUGAUGAAUGGAAAAUUUAAAUUUCAUCACUGUAUUUGUUGGUCGAGGGUUGAGUACCUCAACUGGUUUCAACUAAGGGUUAAGGAGUUGGAGGUCCUGGGAUCAAUUUUCGGUAACGUAGGACGUUGUCUAUGACAGUGAUUAUAAUUAUGAUGUGUUGUUCAAUUUUAAUAUUUAAGGCUCAUUCUACGCAUGCUGAUAACUUAAUCCUGCCAAGCCCUGUAUAUUAACAUUGAUUAGUUGCUCAAUAUUAUAGGUGGAUAUCUAGAAGUACCAAGUGUCCAAGAAAAUAGAGAGUGAAGGGGAAAAGCUAAAGAACUUUGCUGAGGCUUUAUGGAAAAACCUUAAGAUGUAUUUCAAUGAUAUUCUAGAAAAUACAGAAGCAAAUAUGUGUCUGGUUAUCGAUGCUCGUAUUUGGAGGAUUCUGUAAAUUGAUCCAUCUUCUGCUGCUAGUUCAGGUUGAAGUUGAACUAGUGAUAAAUGAUAAUAAUAAACUAAUGUUGU
Molecule: long non-coding RNA, 1610 nt
Filed under: Medicago truncatula (barrel medic)
Lineage: Eukaryota; Viridiplantae; Streptophyta; Magnoliopsida; Fabales; Fabaceae
Description: long non-coding RNA (MTRU_LNC005174)
Source: RNAcentral